RNAcentral lists this long non-coding RNA (531 nucleotides) under Taeniopygia guttata (zebra finch). RNAcentral's name for it is "lncRNA (ENSTGUG00000024645.1)". Lineage: Eukaryota; Metazoa; Chordata; Aves; Passeriformes; Estrildidae. The record is from RNAcentral.
UCAGCCCUAACUAUUCUGUGAUUUCGUGAUUUAACACGAUUUAAAUUUUAAUAUGUAGGUGCCCUGAGGAAGGCUGGCUCCUUGCACUUGGGAAAGCUCUGUCCCCCGAGGCUCAGCGUGAUUUGGGGAGUCCAGCAGGCUCCACCAAGGGACCACACUGAAGAGAUCACCACGGGCUCUGAUGGCACAUCUGACUCCAGCUCUCCAACAGCAUGGUAGGCACCCAAUAUGAGGCUCUCAGAAUCGAGUGACAGAGCAAUCAUUAUUUAGAAGUUUACAGUCCUAAGAGCCAAGACCUAGUAUUUUUCUGUUUUAUAGGCUCUGUUUUGAAGAUCUCCCUAGACUGAUUUACUGUAAGGUAAUCAUAUUAGAGAGAUUCUUCUCUGCAACGUCAGGUGCUGGAAUUGGAUUCAAGUCAUAAUCACUGAACAUACUAGAGACUAAGGCAUGUAUUCCACUGAAUGAGGAUGCAUUUGGGAAAUGUUUGAGGGCCAGUUUGAAAGCAGCUCUGUGGACUUGUUAUCAUUAACA